RNAcentral lists this long non-coding RNA (284 nucleotides) under Rattus norvegicus (Norway rat). RNAcentral's name for it is "long non-coding RNA NONRATT018008". The record is from RNAcentral. Lineage: Eukaryota; Metazoa; Chordata; Mammalia; Rodentia; Muridae.
GUUGUGUUGCCGCCUGGAAAGGAGACGCUGCCCUUCCCCAGCGAUGGGAUCCCGGCUUUGUGGAAUGACCUGUUAUGUGUGCCCCUGUCCUGCUGGGGAGUGGAUGGUGCCCAGGACCCAGCCAGAGACCAGCUGAAGACGUUCUCCUCGGAAGCUCUCACCCCAGGAGGUCCCGUCCCGGGUGCUGGGCCUACCAUGGCAUUCCGUAGGACUGAGGGUAUGUCCAUGAUCCAGCAAUAGAGUGUGAGAGCAAGGCCUGUGAAUCAGAUAAAGGAUCGAAGUGA